RNAcentral lists this ribosomal RNA (396 nucleotides) under Triticum aestivum (bread wheat). Its description in RNAcentral is "partial small subunit ribosomal RNA". The record is from RNAcentral. Lineage: Eukaryota; Viridiplantae; Streptophyta; Magnoliopsida; Poales; Poaceae.
AUGUCUUUAUUUGAACACUUUCAUAAAGGGACUCUCGACAUCCAACGUCUUAACUACGGUGUGAUAACACUGUUGCCUAAGAGUGCUGGGGCAGACAAAAUAAAACAGUUUAGACAUAUCUGUCUCCUUAGGUGCCCAUAUAAAAUGAUCAGUAAAGUGCUAGACCGUAGAGUGGAGAAGUAUGCCAAUAAGUUGAUUAGCUCGACCCAAAAUGCUUUUGUUAAAGGGAGGAAUAUCAUGUAUGGUGUUCUCUCUCUGCAUGAGAUAUUGAACUAUACUCAUGUGAAGAAAAGGGUGGGGGCAGUACUAAAACUCGACUUUGAAAAAGCCUACUACAGGGUGAAUUGGGAGUUCCUGUUAGAAUGUCAUAAGCAGCGAGGCUUUAAUGAAACCUAG